This 976-nucleotide ribosomal RNA is filed under the name Mesorhizobium sp. Its description in RNAcentral is "partial 23S ribosomal RNA". It matches the Rfam family "Bacterial large subunit ribosomal RNA", at positions 1975 to 2925 of the family's 2925-position model. The record is from RNAcentral. Lineage: Bacteria; Pseudomonadati; Pseudomonadota; Alphaproteobacteria; Hyphomicrobiales; Phyllobacteriaceae.
GGUAAGUUCCGACCUGCACGAAUGGCGUAACGAUGGCGGCGCUGUCUCCACCCGAGACUCAGUGAAAUUGAAAUCGCUGUGAAGAUGCAGCGUUCCCGUGGCAAGACGGAAAGACCCCGUGAACCUUUACUAUAGCUUUGCACUGGACUUUGAAUUUGCUUGUGUAGGAUAGGUGGGAGGCUUUGAAGCGUGGACGCCAGUCUGCGUGGAGCCAUCCUUGAAAUACCACCCUGGCAACUUUGAGGUUCUAACUCAGGUCCGUUAUCCGGAUCGAGGACAGUGUAUGGUGGGUAGUUUGACUGGGGCGGUCUCCUCCUAAAGAGUAACGGAGGAGUACGAAGGUGCGCUCAGACCGGUCGGAAAUCGGUCGCAGAGUAUAAAGGCAAAAGCGCGCUUGACUGCGAGACAGACACGUCGAGCAGGUACGAAAGUAGGUCUUAGUGAUCCGGUGGUUCUGUAUGGAAGGGCCAUCGCUCAACGGAUAAAAGGUACUCCGGGGAUAACAGGCUGAUACCGCCCAAGAGUUCAUAUCGACGGCGGUGUUUGGCACCUCGAUGUCGGCUCAUCACAUCCUGGGGCUGAAGCCGGUCCCAAGGGUAUGGCUGUUCGCCAUUUAAAGUGGUACGCGAGCUGGGUUCAGAACGUCGUGAGACAGUUCGGUCCCUAUCUGCCAUGGGCGUUGGAGAUUUGAGAGGGGCUGCUCCUAGUACGAGAGGACCGGAGUGGACGAACCUCUGGUGUUCCGGUUGUCACGCCAGUGGCAUUGCCGGGUAGCUAUGUUCGGAAAAGAUAACCGCUGAAAGCAUCUAAGCGGGAAACUUGCCUCAAGAUGAGAUCUCACUGGAGCCUUGAGCUCCCUGAAGGGCCGUCGAAGACUACGACGUUGAUAGGCAGGGUGUGUAAGCGCUGUGAGGCGUUGAGCUAACCUGUACUAAUUGCCCGUGAGGCUUGACCAUAUAACACCCAAGCAAUUUGG